AUAAUACCAACGGCGUAAAACACGACUAAAUACCCAGUCCAACCAUUAAGAAAGAAACUAAACUGGGCUGUAAAAAGCCAUAAGUUACAAUAACCACCCCUUAACACAACACCACACCCACUCGUGAAAGCUGGGACACAAACUAAGAUUAGAUACCUUACUAUGCCCAACCAUAACACAACAAUUAAACCACCAAUUGUUCGCCAAAUAACUACGAGUAAAAACUUAAAACUUAAAAGACUUGACGGUAUCUCACAACAAUCUAGAGGAGCCUGUCCAAUAACCGAUACCCCGCGAUUAACCCGACCCCCCCUAGCCUAACAGUCUAUAUACCGCCGUCGCCAGCCUACCUUAUGAAAGAAACAAAGUGAGCAAAAUAGUCAUUACUAACACGACAGGUCGAGGUGUAACUAAUGGGGGGGAUAAGAUGGGCUACAUUUUCUAACACAGAAAAUACGAACAAACUAUGAAAUAAGAAACUGAAGGCGGAUUUAGCAGUACACUAAGAACAAAACACUUAAUCGAAACCAACGCAAUGAGAUGCGUACACACCGCCCGUCAUCCCUGUUAACCAACAAAAACAUACAUAAA
RNAcentral lists this ribosomal RNA (591 nucleotides) under Gonyosoma prasinum (Green trinket snake). RNAcentral describes it as "partial 12S ribosomal RNA". Lineage: Eukaryota; Metazoa; Chordata; Lepidosauria; Squamata; Colubridae. The record is from RNAcentral.